Molecule: ribosomal RNA, 649 nt
Filed under: uncultured soil bacterium
Lineage: Bacteria
Description: bacterial SSU rRNA
Rfam family: Bacterial small subunit ribosomal RNA
Source: RNAcentral
GGGGCCCAGCAAUGGGCAACCGGCGAACGGGUGCGUAACACGUGAGCAACCUACCGAACUGUGGGGGAUAGCCGGCCUAACGGCCGAGUAAUACCGCAUACGCUUUCAGUGAGGCAUUUCAUUGAAAGGAAACCUACGGGACAGAUCGAGGGGCUCGCGGCCUAUCAGCUAGUUGGCGAGGUAACGGCUCACCAAGGCAACGACGGGUAGCUGGUCUGAGAGGAUGGCCAGCCACAUUGGGACUGAGAUACGGCCCAGACUCCUACGGGAGGCAGCAGUGGGGAAUCUUGCGCAAUGGCCUAACGGCUGACGCAGCGACGCCGCGUGUGGGAUGAAGCUCUUCGGAGUGUAAACCACUGUUGCCCGGGACGAAAUAGCUCGAUUAAUCGAGCCUGACGGUACCGGGUGAGGAAGCACCGGCUAACUCCGUGCCAGCAGCCGCGGUAAUACGGGGGGUGCGAGCGUUGUCCGGAAUCACUGGGCGUAAAGGGCGCGUAGGUGGUUUGAUAAGGGUGUGGUGAAAGUCCGGGGCUCAACCCCGGAUCUGCCGUGCCGACUGUCAAACUCGAGGGCUGUAGAGGCAGACGGAAUUCCGGGUGUAGCGGUGGAAUGCGUAGAGAUCCGGAGGAAGACCGGUGGCGAAGGCGGU